CGCUGGGGGCCGUGGCCGCCACGUGGCUGCUGCUGCGCGCGACGUGGGGGGUGGGCGGCGCCGUCUACGUCUACCUGCUGCCCCAGGUGCGCCGCGGCGACCCAUGGCUCCGGUCGCAGGGGGCCUGGGCAGGACAAUGUGCAGCACACAGUCAGGGCACAGUCAAUGUUGUUUAAAUUGUUGAGUACAAGAACGAGGGAAGGAAUCCCUGCAGCUUGCCCAGAGAGGCCUGAACAUCGUGCUCAUCAGUAGAAACCUGAGCAAGUUGGAGCAAGAAGCUGAGGAGAUAGGUGAGCUCCAGGGCAGUGGCUGGGGCAGCGGGGGGGAACUGGCAGGGGAGGGAGCGAGGGCUGGGGGGUCUCAGGCCCAGG
RNAcentral lists this long non-coding RNA (371 nucleotides) under Dasypus novemcinctus (nine-banded armadillo). RNAcentral describes it as "lncRNA (ENSDNOG00000052348.1)". The record is from RNAcentral. Lineage: Eukaryota; Metazoa; Chordata; Mammalia; Cingulata; Dasypodidae.